CUACGGGUUGCAGCAGUGGGGAAUUUUGGACAAUGGGCGCAAGCCUGAUCCAGCCAUUCCGCGUGAGUGAAGAAGGCCUUCGGGUUGUAAAGCUCUUUCGCAAGGGAAGAAAACUUAUCCUCUAACAUAGGGUGAGGUUGACGGUACCUUGAUAAGAAGCACCGGCUAACUACGUGCCAGCAGCCGCGGUAAUACGUAGGGUGCGAGCGUUAAUCGGAAUUACUGGGCGUAAAGCGUGCGCAGGCUGUUUUGUAAGUCAGAUGUGAAAUCCCCGAGCUCAACUUGGGAACUGCGUUUGAAACUACAAGACUAGAAUAUGUCAGAGGGGGGUAGAAUUCCAUGUGUAGCAGUGAAAUGCGUAGAGAUGUGGAGGAAUACCAAUGGCGAAGGCAGCCCCCUGGGAUAAUAUUGACGCUCAUGCACGAAAGCGUGGGGAGCAAACAGGAUUAGAUACCCGAGUAGUC
RNAcentral lists this ribosomal RNA (464 nucleotides) under uncultured bacterium. Its description in RNAcentral is "partial 16S ribosomal RNA". It matches the Rfam family "Bacterial small subunit ribosomal RNA", at positions 339 to 795 of the family's 1533-position model. The record is from RNAcentral.